This 505-nucleotide long non-coding RNA is filed under the name Lathyrus oleraceus (garden pea). RNAcentral's name for it is "Pisum sativum (pea) long non-coding RNA (PSAT_LNC001449)". Lineage: Eukaryota; Viridiplantae; Streptophyta; Magnoliopsida; Fabales; Fabaceae. The record is from RNAcentral.
UGAGCAGAGAGAGUAUUUGUUAACCCCUUUGAGCCUAAACAGUUGAAUCUCGGCUUGAAAUAAAGCGAGAUCUCAAAAAUCUUUUUUUUUACAACCCGGAAAAUCUUGUUUAUUGUUCUUUUGCCGUAAAAAGUUAAGAGCAUUCACUUAGGGUGUGGAAGAAAUAAGUUGGGGAGAACGAAAAAGAAUUGGUAAGUACCACAACUCUUGAAAAAGAAAAGAAAAACCGAGCAAGCAUAGAAAAAUAUAUGUAUAGAAAAUAUAGAAAAGAAACAUCUGUUUUGUAUAUUUGAUGUGAAAGAAAAGAACAAAAAUAGAAAAAAUGAAAAUGAAUGCUUGCUUGGAAGAAAAAUAGUGAAAAAUAAAAAUUGAGUUGUGGAAUAUGUGUUGUGAAGGUUUCAAAUAAGAAACAAAUGAAACAAAGUCGAGUAGUGUGAAUAAUACUGUGAAUGUCUCUUUUGCAUCGGCACUUUCGUUUCAAUGGCCUUAGAAAUGACCCUUGUUU